Molecule: ribosomal RNA, 253 nt
Filed under: uncultured bacterium
Lineage: Bacteria
Description: partial 16S ribosomal RNA
Rfam family: Bacterial small subunit ribosomal RNA
Source: RNAcentral
UACGGAGGGUGCAAGCGUUAUCCGGAUUCACUGGGUUUAAAGGGUGCGUAGGCGGACAGGUAAGUCAGUGGUGAAAUCUCUGGGCUUAACCCAGAAACUGCCGUUGAUACUAUUUGUCUUGAAUAUCCUGGAGGUAGGCGGAAUAUGUCAUGUAGCGGUGAAAUGCUUAGAUAUGACAUAGAACACCGAUAGCGAAGGCAGCUCACUACACAGCCAUUGACGCUGAGGCACGAAAGCGUGGGGAUCAAACAGG